CAUGUAGGCGGUUGCUUAAGUCGGACGUGAAAGCUCCUGGCUCAACUGGGAGAGGUCGUUCGAAACUAGGCAACUCGAGGCAAGUAGGGGUGUGUGGAACUCUUGGUGGAGCGGUGGAAUGCGUAGAUAUCAAGAGGAACGCCGAAGGUGAAGACAGCACACUGGACUUGUUCUGACGCUGAGGCACGAAAGCGUGGGGAGCAAACA
This 207-nucleotide ribosomal RNA is filed under the name uncultured bacterium. Its description in RNAcentral is "partial 16S ribosomal RNA". It matches the Rfam family "Bacterial small subunit ribosomal RNA", at positions 568 to 774 of the family's 1533-position model. The record is from RNAcentral.